GCUAUGUAUUAAAGGGUAUGAUUUAUUUACUCAAAUUAAGAAUUUAGUCUAAAAUCUAAAGAAUAAUUUAUAUUAAUUUUAGUAUAAAUUAUUCUUAGAAUCUAAAAACUUAUUUUAAAUAUAAACCCUAAGAGAAGUUUUUUAAUAAACGAAGUGAAUUGAAACAUCUUAGUAACUUCAGGAAAAGAAAUCAAAAGAGAUUCUACGAUUAGCGUGAGCGAAAGUAGAGAAGCCUAUAUAUUAAUAAGUAAAAUGGUUUAGAAACUGUUUGAAUUUAAUGGGGAACCUUCCUCAAAGGCUAAAUAUAAUACAUAAGCGAUAGUGAAUAGUAUCAUGAGAGAACGAUUAGAAUUAGUAGUUUUAUAAGCAGUUCGAGCAAAAUAAAUAAGUGAGAACGUACCUUUUGCAUAAUGGGUCACCAAGUUAACAUUAGAUGCGAGUGAAAGCGUAGAUAAACCAAUCGUUAAAAUAACGAAUAGUGUCUAAAGUUAGACCCGAAGCCUGGUGAUUUUACCACAAUCAGGAUUAUAAAAGUCCGAACGGGUUAUCGUUGUAAAGAUAUCCGAAGAAUUGUGGUAGGUAGUGAAAGACAACACUGACUAGGAUAGCUGGUUUUCUGCGAAACCUAUAACAGUAGGCAAUUUGAGUACAUCUUAGCAGGUACAGAAUUUAAUCUCAGACAAGAUGUUUUCAUUUUAGUUCUUGAACUAAAACAACAUGUUGAUUUGUAUAUAUCGGGGGAUCGUGAAGAUUUUAUCGGUGAGUAUGUAGACUCGGAAUGGCAAAGAUGGAUCUUGAAUUAUCAGACAUAGAAUGAUAAGGUUGUAUGUCAAAAGGGAAACAGCCCAGAACAAGAGUUAAGGUUCCAAAAUUAUUAGUUAAGUGAAAUUAAGAAGGUUUUUAUUAAAGUCGACAAGGAGAUGGGCUUAGAAGCAGCCAAAUUUUGAAGACCUCGUAACAGAGCGCUUGUUAAGUUUUAAAAGCAUCGAAAAUUUAACGGAUCUAAACAAUAUACCGACACCUUGUCCAUAUUUUACAAUAUAUAUUAUUGUAAUUUUGUGGGGUAGCAGAACGUUGAAUUAAAUUAAGAUAUUUCUUCUGUGAAGAAAUAUAUAACAAACAAUUCAAGUGAGAAUGGUGACAUGAGUAACGAAUAAGAAGGACACGAAGAGAAAGGGAACAAGGUAAAAACUUGUGAUCGGCCUUUUCAAAUCCUCCGCCUAAAGCUUAUGGAUGGGCAGAUACCCUUAAAGUAACGGCCUCUAAGUUAUAAAUCUAAAGGUUUAAACGAUGAGAAAAUCUUUUUUACUAAAUGACAACAUUUACAAGUGAUAAGUGUGCUGGAAAAAAUAGUAAUAUAUCUUAUUGCAAAAUAAGAUGAAAAAAUAACCGUACCUAGAAACUAAAACAAGUAAGCUAGUAGAGAAUACGAAGGCGUAAAUGAGCUAACAAUCAUAAAGGAACUCGGCAAACUAACUACCGUAACUUCGGGAUAAGGAGAGCUCAUUAGUCCUGAUUAAUAUCGGGUAAAAAGGAAGAAGCAUAAAAUAGUGUUGUACGACUGUUUAAUUAAAACACAGCACUUUGCUAAAAGAUUAAAAAUCGAAGUAUUGAGUGUGAUGUCUGCCCGAUGCCGGCUGGUUAACGAAUUUAACUAAAUUGAUCAAAAAAUUUGGUGUUGAAGGAACCCCCGGUUAAUGGCGGCCUUAACGUGAGGGUCCUAAGGUAGCGAAAUGCCUUGGCCGUUAAAUGCGGUCUUGCAUGAAUGAUGUAACGAUACAACAGCUGUCUCUAUGAUUGACUCAGUGAAAUUGGAAUAACUGUGCAGAUACAGUUUACCUCUAGUUAGACGAGAAGACCCUAUGCAGCUUUACUGUUACUAAUUAUAGGGUAUGAUGGAUUAAUUUUCAGAUUAUAAGGUACAUUGGUUCAAUAAAAAUGAAAAUCCUUUAUUUUUACAUCAUACUUCAGAAUUAAUUCUUUUGAUUCUCCCGGCGCAAGCUAGAGGAAAGAAAGGAUUAACCUAGUCUGACUUAAAAGUAGCCUUAGGUAAGGAAUAUAUUGUUAGGAGACAGUUUAUGUGGGGCACAGGCCCCUUAAAGAGUAAAAGGGAGUGUCUAAAAAUUAUUUGUUAUAAAAUUUAUAACGUUGUUUGUGAUUUUAUGUAGUUUUACUAUAUUUAAUCUUAUAAAAUUAUCUUUAUCUACCCUUGUUGUAGAUACGGAUGGAUAUUAGGUACGAUUUUCACUAUAGUGAAAGUAGCGGUAUAAAAAAAUAUUAUGAAAUUUUUCUAAUAUUUUUUGAGUUAUUAAGAGUUAUUUCUUAAUAAUAAUGAUAAAUACCUGAAAAGCUCAACGGCUUAUUCGUGCCUUACUGUUUGAUUAACAACAAAUCUUACAGUUGCGUAAGCAGGGCAUAGGAUCACAAGAUGCAAAAAGGAAAGAUCUUGGAUUAUUGGAAAAGCUACGCUAGGGAUGUUUGUCCUUCAAUAUUUUUAAACAAAAUUAAAAUUAUUGAUAAUAUAUUGGGUUAAUUUCAAGAAUUACUUAUUUAAGUAGAUUUGAAGCGAAAUUUAUCUUGGCAUAAUUAUUUAAGAUAAAAUCGUUCAACGACUAUAAGGUGAGUUAUGCUAACAAUAAUCCUUUUUAACACCCAACAUUUUUAUUACCAUACACUUAUAAAAAAAGAUAAAAAGAAAAUAAAAUUUAUUUUUAUGAAAGCGAAAGCUCUAAAUACAAACGCGA
This 2744-nucleotide ribosomal RNA is filed under the name Colletotrichum incanum. Its description in RNAcentral is "bacterial LSU rRNA". The stretch from base 112 to 2513 matches the Rfam family "Bacterial large subunit ribosomal RNA". The record is from RNAcentral. Lineage: Eukaryota; Fungi; Ascomycota; Sordariomycetes; Glomerellales; Glomerellaceae.